AAAUUGAAGAGUUUGAUCAUGGCUCAGAUUGAACGCUGGCGGCAGGCCUAACACAUGCAAGUCGAACGGUAACAGGAAGAAGCUUGCUUCUUUGCUGACGAGUGGCGGACGGGUGAGUAAUGUCUGGGAAACUGCCUGAUGGAGGGGGAUAACUACUGGAAACGGUAGCUAAUACCGCAUAACGUCGCAAGACCAAAGAGGGGGACCUUCGGGCCUCUUGCCAUCGGAUGUGCCCAGAUGGGAUUAGCUAGUAGGUGGGGUAACGGCUCACCUAGGCGACGAUCCCUAGCUGGUCUGAGAGGAUGACCAGCCACACUGGAACUGAGACACGGUCCAGACUCCUACGGGAGGCAGCAGUGGGGAAUAUUGCACAAUGGGCGCAAGCCUGAUGCAGCCAUGC
This 400-nucleotide ribosomal RNA is filed under the name Escherichia coli. RNAcentral's name for it is "bacterial SSU rRNA". It matches the Rfam family "Bacterial small subunit ribosomal RNA", at positions 1 to 397 of the family's 1533-position model. The record is from RNAcentral. RNAcentral also lists the same sequence under 1 other name. Lineage: Bacteria; Pseudomonadati; Pseudomonadota; Gammaproteobacteria; Enterobacterales; Enterobacteriaceae.